GCCCAUGCGUUUGCUCUUGGUCUUCUUGGUUUCACCUUUCGAUCUGCUGAAAGUGGAGAGAUUCACGUUUCUCUUUCUUAUUUCUCCAAACCCCAAUUUGCUAGAUCCAUUCGUGAAACCCUUUGCUCUUUCUCUCUUCGUUUCCGUUUUACGAUCUGAUCCAGGAUCAAUCAAUACAUCCUCCACAAUUGAUUGAGAUGGCUCCAGGUCCAGAUCCGAACAGCGUUGGUGAUGGUGCGAAGCGGGAUGAAGCUACGACCAAGGUUCCUUCUAAGGAUCCCAAAAAGAAGGAUGAUAAGAAAGAGGAAGAUCUGUCUGAAGAGGACUUGCAACUGAAGCAGAACCUGGAGCUCUAUGUUGAGAGGGUUCAAGACCCUAAUCCUGAACUGCAGAAGGCUGCUCUCGAAAGCAUGAGGCAGGAGAUCCGUGCCUCAACAAGCUUCAUGACGUCGGUUCCAAAACCCCUCAAGUUUCUCCGUCCUCACUAUGGAACUCUUAAGGAGUUUCAUAAAAAUAUGGUGGAGUUCGAUCUCAAGAAAUUGCUGGCUGAUAUACUAUGUCUGUCUUGGCACUGACCAUGUCUGCUGAGGGUCAAAGGGAAAGCUUAGGAUACAGGUUGACUGGAUCAAAGGGUGACAUCGGAUCUUGGGGUCACGAGUAUGUCAGGAAUUUGGCCGGUGAGAUUGCAGAAGAGUAUACAGUUCGUCAGGAUAGAAAACAGUUGUUCAUGAGUAGUUUAUGUUUGGCUUUUCUCUGCCGGUUCGUUAAUGAAUGUUAUAACAAUGAAUGUUAUUUAAAAUUACAUCUUUUUGAAAAAAUGAACCAGUGAAAGAAUAGUAUGCAAUCGUUCUUUGGAGCUAAACAUCGUUCCUUUGAUGAAUUGUCGAGAAUGUCACUGACCUACUUAGACAUCACAGAUUGCUACAUGUUAGACCGGAUGCCAAAGAGGGGAGCCUCAGUCAGGACUCUAGGGCAAAAUAUUGGAGCCAAAGAUACAGCCUCAAGGAGACUUCCAGAAAAUUUUAGUAAAUAGUUAAUCUAGAUCUAGAUAAAGCUACGGUGAAAGUUACCUCAAGAUGUGGAAGUAAUUCUAGAUCUAGAUGAAGCUACGGUGAAAGAGAUGAGAAAGCAAGAGGAGAUUGCUAAAGCCAAGCUAGCCAUGGAAAGGAAAAAGAAGCUGGCAGAGAAAGCCGCUGCUAAAGCUGCCAUAAGAGCUCAAAAGAAAGCUGAGAAGAAAGAACAAAAGGAGCGAGAGAAGGCGGCCAAGAGGAAGACAGGAGGCAGCAACGCAUACGAGGCCAUCUCUGAGGAAGUUCCUGAAGCUUCUGAGGCUGAGAAGGAGGAGAUUGAAGCUCCAGUGGAGGAGAAACCAAAGAAGGAAAAGAAAGUCUUGAAGGAGAAACCAAUAAGGAACAGGAUCUGCAAUAGAGGAGGACCGGAAACACUCCCGAGACCAAUGCUCAAGCGUAAGAAGCAGACUAACUACAUGGUUUGGGCUGCUCCAGCUGCUGUUGUGGUACUAAUGCUUCUUGACUUGGGUUACUACUACGUUUUCUAGAUCAAGGGAAGCUGUGUUUGCUGUAGUUUGAGUCUUUUUAAAGCUUUCUUUUGAGGAUGAGACUCUUUAAAAUUUAUGUCUCAUUUACAUACUGAGUAGAGACUCUUCCCUUUUUAAAUACUUUUUUACAUUUCA
Brassica oleracea var. oleracea is the source of this 1693-nucleotide RNA transcript. It is a transcript of the gene named 26S proteasome non-ATPase regulatory subunit 2 homolog B-like, with no coding region annotated. The transcript has 7 exons. NCBI's taxonomy places the organism in Eukaryota, Viridiplantae, Streptophyta, Magnoliopsida, Brassicales, Brassicaceae. The record is from RefSeq and is a predicted model, not a curated record.